GACGAAUUCAGGAGUCCUUUAUUAGCCGGCAGCCGAGAGACAGCUAGCGCUCAAAAUUCUCUUGGCCCGGAAGAAGGAGCUAGAUUUUCUUCUAUACUUUGGUUUAGACAGGGGAGAGGGGGAGUCUAGUUGAAACAAUCUUACAGAAGUAAAGUAGGCAAAAAGUUAAAAGGAUAAACGGUUACAGGAAAGUAAACAGUUCCAGGUGCAGAGGCUUUAAGUCUAUCCUAAGGUGAUAGACGCCGGGCUUUGGGCGUUAUCAACCGGACACAAACGCAGGGGCUCUGGGUGCUAUUAACCGGGCGAAUUCCUGGGAACUGCGGAUAUAGCUUGCCACAGUAUCUUAUCAGUUAAUUGCAUUCUUGAUGUGCUGGGAGUCAGCUUGCACAAGUUAAGUCCUUGAGGAAGGGGGUGGGUAAGGAGCUGCGAGUGAAGGAGUCACGAUGGAGUCCGUCUGGCUCUCUUAGCUAAGGAAGAGUCACUUCAGGGUAAAACAAGGAAAAACAAUGCCUGUGUUUUGAAGUUCCUUCUUGGGACGAAACCAGCUGAAGCUGGCGAAAUCCAAGAUGGCGCCUCUGACGAGCCUCUGGCUUUAUUAUCAUCCAGUUCUCAUGCUAAACAACACUCCCACCAGCGCCGUGACAAUUGACAGUCGCCAUGACAACGACUGGAAGAGACCAAGAAGGGACAGAAAAAAAGGGGUUCCUUGAUUCCGGGAAAAAUCUCCGUUCUUUCCCAAGAAAAGCAUGAAUAUUCCCCCCCGUGCUCUUAAUGCCCAGCCCCUUCAUUAAAGACACCCUACCUCUGUAACUUCCCAGCUCUCACCAGCUAAGUUGAUUUCAGAUCUUCCAAUUCCAGAGCCAUUGAAUAAAGCCUGCACUGCUUGACACACUCCCUUUCGGUUUCGUGCAUUGGCCUCACCACACAACAGGAAACAAUCCUUUUUGGGAUAACCGGGACUCCCGGUAACAUUUCCAUAUAUACAUAUCUUAAUGUAUGCAAGGGCGUCUGGGGGAGAAAGAAGAAGCACAUUUCAUUCUUUGCUUUCUAUAAUACUGGAUUGCUUGAGUUUGUGACAAGGACACCCG
Molecule: long non-coding RNA, 1088 nt
Filed under: Pan troglodytes (chimpanzee)
Lineage: Eukaryota; Metazoa; Chordata; Mammalia; Primates; Hominidae
Description: long non-coding RNA NONPTRT014950
Source: RNAcentral